Molecule: ribosomal RNA, 297 nt
Filed under: Comamonas testosteroni
Lineage: Bacteria; Pseudomonadati; Pseudomonadota; Betaproteobacteria; Burkholderiales; Comamonadaceae
Description: partial small subunit ribosomal RNA
Rfam family: Bacterial small subunit ribosomal RNA
Source: RNAcentral
ACAAAGGGUUGCCAACCCGCGAGGGGGAGCUAAUCCCAUAAAGCCAGUCGUAGUCCGGAUCGCAGUCUGCAACUCGACUGCGUGAAGUCGGAAUCGCUAGUAAUCGUGGAUCAGAAUGUCACGGUGAAUACGUUCCCGGGUCUUGUACACACCGCCCGUCACACCAUGGGAGCGGGUCUCGCCAGAAGUAGGUAGCCUAACCGCAAGGAGGGCGCUUACCACGGCGGGGUUCGUGACUGGGGUGAAGUCGUAACAAGGUAGCCGUAUCGGAAGGUGCGGCUGGAUCACCUCCUUUCU